RNAcentral lists this ribosomal RNA (293 nucleotides) under uncultured bacterium. Its description in RNAcentral is "partial 16S ribosomal RNA". It matches the Rfam family "Archaeal small subunit ribosomal RNA", at positions 455 to 747 of the family's 1478-position model. The record is from RNAcentral.
GUGCCAGCCGCCGCGGUAAUACCGGCAGCCCAAGUGAUGGCCGCUGUUAUUGGGCCUAAAGCGUCCGUAGCUGGCCGCACAAGUCCGUCGGGAAAUCCACCUGCCCAACAGGUGGGCGUCCGGCGGAAACUGUGUGGCUUGGAACCGGAAGGCUCAGAGAGUACGUCCGGGGUAGGAGUGAAAUCCUGUAAUCCCGCUCGGACCGCCGAUGGGGAAACCACCUCAGGAGAACGGAUCCGACAGUGAGGGACGAAAGCCAGGGUCUCGAACCGGAUUAGAUACCCGAGUAGUCC